This 253-nucleotide ribosomal RNA is filed under the name uncultured bacterium. RNAcentral's name for it is "partial 16S ribosomal RNA". It matches the Rfam family "Bacterial small subunit ribosomal RNA", at positions 524 to 776 of the family's 1533-position model. The record is from RNAcentral.
UACGUAGGGGGCUAGCGUUGUCCGGAAUCAUUGGGCGUAAAGCGCGUGUAGGCGGUCCGGUAAGUCCGCUGUGAAAGUCGGGGGCUCAACCCUCGAAUGCCGGUGGAUACUGUCGGGCUAGAGUGCGGAAGAGGCGAGUGGAAUUCCUGGUGUAGCGGUGAAAUGCGCAGAUAUCAGGAGGAACACCAAUUGCGAAGGCAGCUCGCUGGGACGUUACUGACGCUGAGGCGCGAAAGCCAGGGGAGCAAACGGG